Molecule: ribosomal RNA, 454 nt
Filed under: uncultured bacterium
Lineage: Bacteria
Description: bacterial SSU rRNA
Rfam family: Bacterial small subunit ribosomal RNA
Source: RNAcentral
AUGCAAGUCGAGCGGAGAUAGGUGAAGCCUAGCGAUUCCUAUCUUAGCGGCGGGAUGGGUGAGUAACACGUGGGUAACCUGCCCUGUACUGGGGGAGUAACAGCUGGAAACGGCUGUUAAUACCGCAUAUGCGCACGGAGCCGCAUGGCCCUGGGCGGAAAGAUUCAUCGGUACAGGAUGGGCCCGCGCCGGAUUAACUUGUUGGCGGGGUAACGGCCCACCAAGGUGAUGAUCCGUAGCCGACCUGAGAGGGUGACCGGCCACAUUGGGACUGAGACACGGCCCAAACUCCUACGGGAGGCAGCAGUGGGGGAUAUUGCACAAUGGGGGAAACCCUGAAUGCAGCGACGCCGCGUGAAGGAAGAAGUAUUUCGGUAUGUAAACUUCUAUCAGCGGGGAAGAAGAUGACGGUACCCGCACAAGAAGCCCCGGCUAACUACGUGCCAGCCGCGGC